RNAcentral lists this unclassified non-coding RNA (400 nucleotides) under uncultured fungus. RNAcentral's name for it is "sequence contains ITS1". Lineage: Eukaryota; Fungi. The record is from RNAcentral.
GGACUACUAGGGUUUCUAAUCCUGUUUGCUACCCAUGCUUUCGAGCCUCAGCGUCAGUUGGUGCCCAGUAGACCGCCUUCGCCACUGGUGUUCCUCCCGAUAUCUACGCAUUCCACCGCUACACCGGGAAUUCCAUCUACCUCUGCACUACUCAAGAAAAACAGUUUUGAAAGCAAUUCAUGGGUUGAGCCCAUGGUUUUCACUUCCAACUUGUCUUCCCGCCUGCGCUCCCUUUACACCCAGUAAUUCCGGACAACGCUUGCACCCUACGUUUUACCGCGGCUGCUGGCACGUAGUUAGCCGGUGCUUUCUUGUUAGGUACCGUCAUUAUCGUCCCUAACGACAGGAGUUUACAAUCCGAAAACCUUCUUCCUCCACGCGGCGUCGCUGCAUCAGGGUU